CAUGAAUAUGUAUAUGAAUAUGAACUUGAACAUGUGCAUGAAAAUAUAUUGUAUACAUGAUAUGUACAUAAUAUAUACAUGAAUAUCAGUAUGAAAAGGAUAUGUACAUGAAUAUAUAUUAAUUGUAUAUGACUAUUAGGGAUAUAUAUAUAUCUAUGAAUUAGAUCUCUGUGCAUUACCUCAUACAGGGAAGGAUCACCAUGCCCUCCGACAGAUUAGGUGAGUAGAUCUCCAUAUCCUCAGCACAGUGAGGGCUGUUGCUGCCCCUGGAAGGACAGUUCUGGUGUCCUGCACCCAAUGAGGGGAGUACAUCCCCGUGCCUUCCACCUGAUAAGUUGCUUAGAAUCAUGUUAUCUCGACCUGAUCAGGGGAGUUAAUCCGCGUAUCCUCCAUCCGAUAAGAUCCCACUCCAGAAUGUUCCAGUUCAAACUCUAAAAUCAUGGAACUGGGACAGAUGAUAUAGCUGAAUCUAUAACAGAAUAUAUAAAGGAAAUAUAUGCCCGUGCCUUUCAGUAAGUAUGGGGAAUGGAACACCAUGCCCUCCCCUAGAUGGUGGAGAUCUCCAUCAUCUGAUAAGAGAGUAGAGUAGUUCCUCUGGAGGCUUAGGUCCCUGUGUCCUUCAGUCAUCAAAAGGCACAGAUAUCCCAUGCCCUCCACCGUUAAUACGUAGAACCACAUAUUACCCACCUGAUCAGAGAAUAUUAUUUCUGUAUAGUCCUUCUGAUGAUUUCCCAUUCCAGAUUUUUCCAGUUUUACCCAAA
RNAcentral lists this long non-coding RNA (761 nucleotides) under Marmota monax (woodchuck). Lineage: Eukaryota; Metazoa; Chordata; Mammalia; Rodentia; Sciuridae. The record is from RNAcentral.